RNAcentral lists this ribosomal RNA (973 nucleotides) under Peptostreptococcaceae bacterium STV110602. RNAcentral describes it as "bacterial SSU rRNA". It matches the Rfam family "Bacterial small subunit ribosomal RNA", at positions 382 to 1372 of the family's 1533-position model. Lineage: Bacteria; Bacillati; Bacillota; Clostridia; Peptostreptococcales; Peptostreptococcaceae. The record is from RNAcentral.
CCUGAUGCAGCGACGCCGCGUGUACGAUGAAGAUCUUCGGAUUGUAAAGUACUGUCCUUGGGUGAAGAUAAUGACUGUAACCAAGAAGCAAGCUCUGGCUAUAUACGUGCCAGCAGCCGCGGUAAUACGUAUGGGGCAAGCGUUGUCCGGAAUUAUUGGGCGUAAAGGGUACGUAGGCGGUUAUUUAAGUCUAAAUUAAAAGGCAUUGGCUCAACCAAUGUAAGGUUUAGAUACUGGAUAACUUGUGAUGAUGUGGGGUGAGAUGGAUAAUUCCUGUGUAGCGGUGAAUGCGUAGAUAUAUGGAGGACACCAAUGGCGAAGGCAACUUUCUGGAAUCAAACUGACGCUGAGGUACGAAGGCGUGGGGAGCAAACAGGAUUAGAUACCCUGGUAGUCCACGCAGUAAACGAUGAGUGCUAGAUGUUGGGAGUCAAAUCUCAGUGUCGCAGCUAACGCAAUAAGCACUCCGCCUGGGGAGUACGUACGCAAGUAUGAAACUCAAAGGAAUUGACGGGGACCCGCACAAGCAGCGGAGCAUGUGGUUUAAUUCGAAGCAACGCGAAGAACCUUACCAAGGCUUGACAUAUACAUGAAAAUCCUAGAGAUAGGAUCCUCUCUUCGGAGACAUGUAUACAGGUGGUGCAUGGUUGUCGUCAGCUCGUGUCGUGAGAUGUUGGGUUAAGUCCCGUAACGAGCGCAACCCUCGUCUUUAGUUACCAGCAAGUAAAGUUGGGGACUCUAGAGAUACUGCCGGGUGAUAAACCGGAGGAAGGUGGGGAUGACGUCAAAUCAUCAUGCCCUAUAUGUCUUGGGCUACACACGUGCUACAAUGGUCUGAACAAAGCGCAGCACACUCGUGAGGGUAAGCAAAUCGCAGAAAACAGAUCUCAGUUCGGAUUGUAGGCUGCAACUCGCCUACAUGAGGUCGGAGUUGCUAGUAAUCGUGGAUCAGAAUUGCCACGGUGAAUACGUU